This 450-nucleotide ribosomal RNA is filed under the name uncultured bacterium. Its description in RNAcentral is "partial 16S ribosomal RNA". It matches the Rfam family "Bacterial small subunit ribosomal RNA", at positions 354 to 796 of the family's 1533-position model. The record is from RNAcentral.
GUGGGGAAUAUUGCACAAUGGGGGAAACCCUGAUGCAGCCAUGUCGCGUGUGUGAAGAAGGCCUUCGGGUUGUAAAGUACUUUCAGCGAGGAGGAAGGCGUUGUGGUUAAUAACCACAGCGAUUGACGUUACUCGCAGAAGAAGCACCGGCUAACUCCGUGCCAGCAGCCGCGGUAAUACGGAGGGUGCAAGCGUUAAUCGGAAUUACUGGGCGUAAAGCGCACGCAGGCGGUUUGUCAAGUCGGAUGUGAAAUCCCCGGGCUCAACCUGGGAAGUGCAUCCGAAACUGGCAGGCUAGAGUCUUGUAGAGGGGGGUAGAAUUCCAGGUGUAGCGGUGAAAUGCGUAGAGAUCUGGAGGAAUACCGGUGGCGAAGGCGGCCCCCUGGACAAAGACUGACGCUCAGGUGCGAAAGCGUGGGGAGCAAACAGGAUUAGAUACCCGGGUAGUCC